GAAAGCUUGUAACAUUUCUUACGACAAAUUGUUGGAAAAAAAUGGGACACAAAAUCAAAUUCGCAGUGAAACACCCAAUUCCUCAAGAGCACUGUGUAAUAAUUGCGGGGCUGCUAAUAAAUCAUUACAAAAAAAGGUAAAUUUACUAUGCCCUUGCGAACAUCAUCAAAUAUUUUCUGAAGAUAAUCAUACUGAACACCAACAAAAUAAAAACAAAAAAUGUAAAU
This 227-nucleotide unclassified non-coding RNA is filed under the name Melitaea cinxia (Glanville fritillary). RNAcentral's name for it is "misc RNA ENSMCXG00005014366.1". The record is from RNAcentral. Lineage: Eukaryota; Metazoa; Arthropoda; Insecta; Lepidoptera; Nymphalidae.